GAUCCUGGCUAGAGAUGAACGCUAGCUACAGGCUUAACACAUGCAAGUCGAGGGGCAGCAUGGUCUUAGCUUGCUAAGGCCGAUGGCGACCGGCGCACGGGUGAGUAACACGUAUCCAACCUGCCGUCUACUCUUGGACAGCCUUCUGAAAGGAAGAUUAAUACAAGAUGGCAUCAUGAGUCCGCAUGUUCACAUGAUUAAAGGUAUUCCGGUAGACGAUGGGG
Molecule: ribosomal RNA, 224 nt
Filed under: uncultured bacterium
Lineage: Bacteria
Description: partial 16S ribosomal RNA
Rfam family: Bacterial small subunit ribosomal RNA
Source: RNAcentral